CAUCAAACAGUUUCUACCUUUUUCCACUUUCGUGAACAUUUUUAAGUACGCAUGCAACUAUUUAUGCACAAUCAAAAUUCAUAUUACAUCGAUAAUAUGCAUAUUAUAUUUACAAGGAUCAAACAUAAUUUCGACUUACCAAAGUUGAGUUUGAGAAGGCGAAAUGAUGAUUACUGAGUCCGGAAUCAUGAAUAUGAUUCAUUAUUUUCCAUUGUUGAAUAAAAGCAUAUCUUUCUUCAAGUCGAACCUUCCCGUGAAAUUAGUGUCAUCAAACGAUCUACACGAACACGAUCUUGAUCCAUCAACUUGAUCAGCGCUAUAUUUCAUUCUCU
This 332-nucleotide long non-coding RNA is filed under the name Olea europaea (common olive). RNAcentral describes it as "long non-coding RNA (OEUR_LNC006747)". Lineage: Eukaryota; Viridiplantae; Streptophyta; Magnoliopsida; Lamiales; Oleaceae. The record is from RNAcentral.